GAUGAACGCUAGCGACCGGCUUAACACAUGCAAGUCGAGGGGCAGCACAGGUAGCAAUACCGGGUGGCGACCGGCGCACGGGUGAGUAACGCGUAUGCAACUUACCUAUCAGAGGGGGAUAACCCGGCGAAAGUCGGACUAAUACCGCAUGAAGCAGGGGUCCCGCAUGGGGAUAUUUGCUAAAGAUUCAUCGCUGAUAGAUAGGCAUGCGUUCCAUUAGGCAGUUGGCGGGGUAACGGCCCACCAAACCGACGAUGGAUAGGGGUUCUGAGAGGAAGGUCCCCCACAUUGGUACUGAGACACGGACCAAACUCCUACGGGAGGCAGCAGUGAGGAAUAUUGGUCAAUGGGCGUAAGCCUGAACCAGCCAAGUCGCGUGAGGGAUGAAGGUUCUAUGGAUCGUAAACCUCUUUUAUAAGGGAAUAAAGUGCGGGACGUGUCCCGUUUUGUAUGUACCUUAUGAAUAAGGAUCGGCUAACUCCGUGCCAGCAGCCGCGGUAAUACGGAGGAUCCGAGCGUUAUCCGGAUUUAUUGGGUUUAAAGGGUGCGUAGGCGGCCUUUUAAGUCAGCGGUGAAAGUCUGUGGCUCAACCAUAGAAUUGCCGUUGAAACUGGGGGGCUUGAGUAUGUUUGAGGCAGGCGGAAUGCGUGGUGUAGCGGUGAAAUGCUUAGAUAUCACGCAGAACCCCGAUUGCGAAGGCAGCCUGCCAAGCCAUGACUGACGCUGAUGCACGAAAGCGUGGGGAUCAAACAGGAUUAGAUACCCUGGUAGUCCACGCAGUAAACGAUGAUCACUAGCUGUUUGCGAUACAGUGUAAGCGGCACAGCGAAAGCGUUAAGUGAUCCACCUGGGGAGUACGCCGGCAACGGUGAAACUCAAAGGAAUUGACGGGGGCCCGCACAAGCGGAGGAACAUGUGGUUUAAUUCGAUGAUACGCGAGGAACCUUACCCGGGUUUGAACGCAUUCGGACCGAGGUGGAAACACCUUUUCUAGCAAUAGCCGUUUGCGAGGUGCUGCAUGGUUGUCGUCAGCUCGUGCCGUGAGGUGUCGGCUUAAGUGCCAUAACGAGCGCAACCCUUGCCACUAGUUACUAACAGGUGAUGCUGAGGACUCUGGUGGGACUGCCAGCGUAAGCUGCGAGGAAGGCGGGGAUGACGUCAAAUCAGCACGGCCCUUACAUCCGGGGCGACACACGUGUUACAAUGGCGUGGACAAAGGGAGGCCACCUGGCGACAGGGAGCGAAUCCCCAAACCACGUCUCAGUUCGGAUCGGAGUCUGCAACCCGACUCCGUGAAGCUGGAUUCGCUAGUAAUCGCGCAUCAGCCAUGGCGCGGUGAAUACGUUCCCGGGCCU
Molecule: ribosomal RNA, 1355 nt
Filed under: uncultured bacterium
Lineage: Bacteria
Description: bacterial SSU rRNA
Rfam family: Bacterial small subunit ribosomal RNA
Source: RNAcentral